CUGGUUGAUCCUGCCAGUAGUCAUAUGCUUGUCUUAAAGACUAAGCCAUGCAUGUCUAAGUAUAAGUAUUAUACAGCGAAACUGCGAAUGGCUCAUUAAAACAGUUAUAGUUUAUUCGAUUAUUUUCUCCUACAUGGAUAACCGUAGUAAUUCUAGAGCUAAUACAUGCUGUCAAACCUGACUUUUGUGGAUAAGGUUGUAUUUAUUAGAUAUAAAACCAAUACCUUCGGGUUUUGUGAUGAUUCAUAAUAACUGAGCGGAUCGCGGCCUUGCCGCGACGAAUCGUUCAAGUUUCUGCCCUAUCAACUUUCGAUGGUAGGAUAGUGGCCUACCAUGGUUUCAACGGGUAACGGGGAAUUAGGGUUCUAUUCCGGAGAGGGAGCCUGAGAAACGGCUACCACAUCCAAGGAAGGCAGCAGGCGCGCAAAUUACCCAAUCCCGACACGGGGAGGUAGUGACAAUAAAUACUGAUACAGGGCUCUUUUGGGUCUUGUAAUUGGAAUGAGUACAAUUUAAAUCCCUUAACGAGGAACAAUUGGAGGGCCAAGUCUGGU
RNAcentral lists this ribosomal RNA (554 nucleotides) under uncultured eukaryote. RNAcentral describes it as "SSU rRNA". It matches the Rfam family "Eukaryotic small subunit ribosomal RNA", at positions 4 to 565 of the family's 1831-position model. The record is from RNAcentral.